CAAUAGCGUAUAUUAAAGUUGUUGCGGUUAAAAAGCUCGUAGUUGGAUUUCUGCUGAGGACGAUCGGUCCGCCCACUGGGUGAGUAUCUGGCUCGGCCUUGGCAUCUUCUUGGAGAACGUUGCUGCACUUGACUGUGUGGUGCGGUAUCCAGGACUUUUACUUUGAGGAAAUUAGAGUGUUUCAAGCAGGCGCACGCCUUGAAUACAUUAGCAUGGAAUGAUAAGAUAGGACCUUGGUUCUAUUUUGUUGGUUUCUAGAGCUGAGGUAAUGAUUAAUAGGGAUAGUUGGGGGCAUUCGUAUUUAACUGUCAGAGCUGAAAGUCUUGGAUUUGUUAAAGACGGACUACUGCGAAAGCAUUUGCCAAGGAUGUUUUCAUUGA
This 380-nucleotide ribosomal RNA is filed under the name uncultured eukaryote. RNAcentral describes it as "partial 18S ribosomal RNA". It matches the Rfam family "Eukaryotic small subunit ribosomal RNA", at positions 592 to 976 of the family's 1831-position model. The record is from RNAcentral.